RNAcentral lists this ribosomal RNA (268 nucleotides) under uncultured bacterium. RNAcentral describes it as "partial 16S ribosomal RNA". It matches the Rfam family "Bacterial small subunit ribosomal RNA", at positions 524 to 787 of the family's 1533-position model. The record is from RNAcentral.
UACGAAGGGGGCUAGCGUUGUUCGGAAUUACUGGGCGUAAAGCGCGCGUAGGCGGUGAUCUUUGUCAGAGGUGAAAUCCCGAGGCUCAACUUCGGAAUUGCCUUUGAAACGGGAUCGCUUGAGUCCGAGAGAGGAUGGCGGAAUUCCUAGUGUAGAGGUGAAAUUCGUAGAUAUUAGGAAGAACACCGGUGGCGAAGGCGGCCAUCUGGCUCGGGUACUGACGCUCAGGCGCGAAAGCGUGGGGGAGCAAACAGGGAUUAAGAAACCC